Molecule: long non-coding RNA, 245 nt
Organism: Cyprinus carpio (common carp)
Lineage: Eukaryota; Metazoa; Chordata; Actinopteri; Cypriniformes; Cyprinidae
Exons: 3
Source: RefSeq, a predicted model, not a curated record
UGAGUUACGUCAUCCUCAGUUUGCGGAUAGACGCUGGCGAGGAAAGACGCACUUAUUUUCUCUCGCUCUUCCUACUUAAUGUUGUGUGUGAUGUGGGAAGAGGUUGGCGCAACGAAAAAUAUUGAUCAAAUUGUCCCAUAUGUUUCCAGGGCGGGUCAAUAAAUUCAGCUGUUCUGAAGCCAUCCUGUUGUCUACUGUGUGAAAUUCGUUAUGUGCAGAAAGGGAUCUGCUACACAUAAUUACUU